This 74-nucleotide transfer RNA is filed under the name Tarentola mauritanica (Moorish gecko). Its description in RNAcentral is "tRNA-Gln". The record is from RNAcentral. Lineage: Eukaryota; Metazoa; Chordata; Lepidosauria; Squamata; Phyllodactylidae.
UAGGAAAUCGGGAGUCGAACCCGCACCAUAAAAUCUUGGAUUUUAUGGUGCGGGUUCUAUUAUACUAUCCCCUA